This 72-nucleotide transfer RNA is filed under the name Methanomicrobia archaeon. Its description in RNAcentral is "tRNA-Thr". It matches the Rfam family "tRNA". Rfam says of the family: Transfer RNA (tRNA) molecules are approximately 80 nucleotides in length. Their secondary structure includes four short double-helical elements and three loops (D, anti-codon, and T loops). Further hydrogen bonds mediate the characteristic L-shaped molecular structure. tRNAs have two regions of fundamental functional importance: the anti-codon, which is responsible for specific mRNA codon recognition, and the 3' end, to which the tRNAs corresponding amino acid is attached (by aminoacyl-tRNA synthetases). tRNAs cope with the degeneracy of the genetic code in two manners: having more than one tRNA (with a specific anti-codon) for a particular amino acid; and 'wobble' base-pairing, i.e. permitting non-standard base-pairing at the 3rd anti-codon position. The record is from RNAcentral. RNAcentral also lists the same sequence under 1 other name. Lineage: Archaea; Methanobacteriati; Methanobacteriota; Methanomicrobia.
GCCUCGGUGGCUCAGUGGUAGAGCGGCUGCCUCGUAAGCAGCAUGUCGGGGGUUCAAAUCCCCCCCGGGGCU